UACGUAGGGGGCUAGCGUUAUCCGGAAUUACUGGGCGUAAAGGGUGCGUAGGCGGUCUUUCAAGCCAGAAGUGAAAGGCUACGGCUCAACCGUAGUAAGCUCUUGAAACUGUAAGACUUGAGUGCAGGAGAGGAGAGUGGAAUUCCUAGUGUAGCGGUGAAAUGCGUAGAUAUUAGGAAGAACACCAGUGGCGAAGGCGGCUCUCUGGCCUUAUACAGACGCUGAGGUACGAAAGCGUGGGGAGCAAACAGGAUUAGAUACCCUGGUAGUCCCU
This 274-nucleotide ribosomal RNA is filed under the name uncultured prokaryote. Its description in RNAcentral is "partial 16S ribosomal RNA". It matches the Rfam family "Bacterial small subunit ribosomal RNA", at positions 524 to 798 of the family's 1533-position model. The record is from RNAcentral.